UCCGCCCUCCAACAUCUUCCCAAAUGUCAUUGUUAAUAAAAAAAAAAUAAAAAAUAAAAUAAAAAAAUAAAAUUAUUAACAAUGACAUUUGGGAAGAUGUUGGAGGGCGGA
Non-coding RNA from Pelobates cultripes (western spadefoot toad), 111 nucleotides. The record is from the annotation of a GenBank genome assembly. Lineage: Eukaryota; Metazoa; Chordata; Amphibia; Anura; Pelobatidae.